UACAGAGGUCUCAAGCGUUGUUCGGAUUCAUUGGGCGUAAAGCGUGCGCAGGCGGUUCGCCAAGUCAGGUGUGAAAUCCCCGGGCUUAACCUGGGAAUUGCGCUUGAAACUAGCGGGCUGGAGUGUGGCAGAGGGGGGUGGAAUUCCACGUGUAGCAGUGAAAUGCGUAGAGAUGUGGAGGAACACCGAUGGCGAAGGCAGCCCCCUGGGCUAACACUGACGCUCAUGCACGAAAGCGUGGGGAGCAAACAGG
This 253-nucleotide ribosomal RNA is filed under the name uncultured bacterium. Its description in RNAcentral is "partial 16S ribosomal RNA". It matches the Rfam family "Bacterial small subunit ribosomal RNA", at positions 524 to 776 of the family's 1533-position model. The record is from RNAcentral.